This 484-nucleotide ribosomal RNA is filed under the name uncultured bacterium. Its description in RNAcentral is "partial 16S ribosomal RNA". It matches the Rfam family "Bacterial small subunit ribosomal RNA", at positions 30 to 507 of the family's 1533-position model. The record is from RNAcentral.
AUUGAACGCUGGCGGCAGGCCUAACACAUGCAAGUCGAGCGGAUGAAGGGAGCUUGCUCCUGGAUUCAGCGGCGGACGGGUGAGUAAUGCCUAGGAAUCUGCCUGGUAGUGGGGGAUAACGUCCGGAAACGGGCGCUAAUACCGCAUACGUCCUGAGGGAGAAAGUGGGGGAUCUUCGGACCUCACGCUAUCAGAUGAGCCUAGGUCGGAUUAGCUAGUUGGUGGGGUAAAGGCCUACCAAGGCGACGAUCCGUAACUGGUCUGAGAGGAUGAUCAGUCACGCUGGAACUGAGACACGGUCCAGACUCCUACGGGAGGCAGCAGUGGGGAAUAUUGGACAAUGGGCGAAAGCCUGAUCCAGCCAUGCCGCGUGUGUGAAGAAGGUCUUCGGAUUGUGAAGCACUUUAAGUUGGGAGGAAGGGCAGUAAGUUAAUACCUUGCUGUUUUGACGUUACCAACAGAAUAAGCACCGGCUAACUUCGUG